This 410-nucleotide ribosomal RNA is filed under the name uncultured Methylomirabilota bacterium. Its description in RNAcentral is "bacterial SSU rRNA". It matches the Rfam family "Bacterial small subunit ribosomal RNA", at positions 1025 to 1434 of the family's 1533-position model. The record is from RNAcentral. Lineage: Bacteria; Methylomirabilota (SeqCode).
AGCGUGGAGACAGGUGGUGCAUGGCUGUCGUCAGCUCGUGUCGUGAGAUGUUGGGUUAAGUCCCGCAACGAGCGCAACCCUCACCCCUUGUUGCUACCAGGUAAAGCUGGGCACUCUAGGGGAACUGCCCCGGUCAACGGGGAGGAAGGCGGGGAUGACGUCAAGUCUUCAUGCCCCUUACGCCCUGGGCUACACACGUGCUACAAUGGCCGGUACAAAGGGAUGCCACACCGCGAGGUAGAGCUAAACCCAAAAAGCCGGUCUAAGUUCAGAUUGGAGUCUGCAACUCGACUCCAUGAAGGAGGAAUCGCUAGUAAUCGCGUAUCAGCACGACGCGGUGAAUACGUUCCCGGGCCUUGUACACACCGCCCGUCACACCACGAAAGCCAGCUGUACUCGAAGUCGCUGAG